RNAcentral lists this ribosomal RNA (253 nucleotides) under uncultured bacterium. RNAcentral describes it as "partial 16S ribosomal RNA". It matches the Rfam family "Bacterial small subunit ribosomal RNA", at positions 524 to 776 of the family's 1533-position model. The record is from RNAcentral.
UACGUAGGGUGCGAGCGUUGUCCGGAAUUAUUGGGCGUAAAGAGCUCGUAGGCGGCUUGUUGAGUCGGAUGUGAAAGCCCGGGGCUUAACUCCGGGUCGGCAUUCGAUACGGGCAGGCUAGAGUUCGGUAGGGGAGAUCGGAAUUCCUGGUGUAGCGGUGAAAUGCGUAGAUAUCUGGAGGAACACCGGUGGCGAAGGCGGCGUUCUGGACUGCAACUGACACUGAAAAACGAAAGCCAGGGGAGCAAACGGG